Molecule: ribosomal RNA, 243 nt
Filed under: uncultured bacterium
Lineage: Bacteria
Description: partial 16S ribosomal RNA
Rfam family: Bacterial small subunit ribosomal RNA
Source: RNAcentral
CGAACGCCCUCUUCGGAGGGAGUGGCAGACGGGUGAGUAACGCGUGGGAACGUACCCUUCGGUUCGGAACAACUCUUGGAAACAAGGGCUAAUACCGGAUACGUCCGUGAGGAGAAAGAUUUAUUGCCGAGGGAUCGGCCCGCGUUGGAUUAGCUUGUUGGCGGGGUAAUGGCCCACCAAGGCGACGAUCCAUAGCUGGUCUGAGAGGAUGAUCAGCCACACUGGGACUGAGACACGGCCCAG